GGGGGCGAACUGGGUUCGACGGAGGUAAGAACCAACUGGUUGCAUGUCGCGGAUGUCAGUCACCGUGUAAAAAGGCUGUCAAAAACUAUAAAUGCCAACGAUAAUGUUGAGUAUGCUGUCGCUGCUUAAUAACCAGUAGACAGUCGUCGGUCCCAAGCGUGUCUGGGUGAGGGAGUUACCGGCGCCAAUCCCACAGACUGGUCCCAAAUGAGCCCGAUGGCGUUUGGGGCGAGACUUUCAUCGGGAACCUGCGCAAAAAGCCUGCCCCUGGGCGUUUUGAUGCUGGAUCAAAUCAGCGGGCUAAACAUGUAGAUGCCUUUUGAGGACGACUUUCGGACGCGGGUUCGACUCCCGCCGCCUCCACCA
This 366-nucleotide transfer-messenger RNA is filed under the name Myxococcales bacterium. It matches the Rfam family "transfer-messenger RNA". From Rfam's summary of the family: Bacterial tmRNA, also known as 10Sa RNA or SsrA, is named for its dual tRNA and mRNA-like properties. RNAcentral also lists the same sequence under 1 other name. The record is from RNAcentral. Lineage: Bacteria; Pseudomonadati; Myxococcota; Myxococcia; Myxococcales.